UUGCUUUCGGAAGGAUUUCUAUAGUACAU
Molecule: non-coding RNA, 29 nt
Filed under: Rattus norvegicus (Norway rat)
Lineage: Eukaryota; Metazoa; Chordata; Mammalia; Rodentia; Muridae
Source: RNAcentral